RNAcentral lists this ribosomal RNA (430 nucleotides) under uncultured bacterium. Its description in RNAcentral is "bacterial SSU rRNA". It matches the Rfam family "Bacterial small subunit ribosomal RNA", at positions 28 to 505 of the family's 1533-position model. The record is from RNAcentral.
GAUGAACGCUGGCGGUGUGGAUAAGGCAUGCAAGUCGAAUGGGUUUAGACCCAUGGCGAACGGGGUAGUAACAGGUAGGAAUGUACCAGAGAGUCGCGGAUAACUUCUCGAAAGAGAUGAUAAUACGCGAUACGCCUUCGGGUGAAAGAUUUAUCGCUCUCUGAUCAGCCUGCUUCGUAUCAGCUUGUUGGUAGUGUAAAAGACUACCAAGGCUAUGACGCGUAGGGGAGGUGAGAGCCUGACCCCCACCAAUGGCACUGAGACACUGGCCAUACUCCUACGGGAGGCUGCAGUCGAGAAUCUUCCGCAAUGCACGAAAGUGUGACGGAGCGACACCGCGUGAUGGAUGAAGGCCUUCGGGUUGUAAACAUCUUUUAUAGAUGAAGAAGUUUAUUGACAUUAGUCUAUGAAUAAGGGGCUCCUAACCACG